RNAcentral lists this unclassified non-coding RNA (150 nucleotides) under soil metagenome. RNAcentral's name for it is "partial internal transcribed spacer 1". The record is from RNAcentral.
CCGAGUUUUACAAACUCCCAAACCCCUGUGAACAUACCACUUGUUGCCUCGGCGGAUCAGCCCGCUCCCGGUAGAACGGGACGGCCCGCCAGAGGACCCCUAAACUCUGUUUCUAUAUGUAACUUUCUGAGUAAAAACCAUAAAUAAUCA